RNAcentral lists this ribosomal RNA (448 nucleotides) under uncultured bacterium. Its description in RNAcentral is "bacterial SSU rRNA". It matches the Rfam family "Bacterial small subunit ribosomal RNA", at positions 355 to 796 of the family's 1533-position model. The record is from RNAcentral.
UGGGGAAUAUUGGACAAUGGGCGAAAGCCUGAUCCAGCAAUGCCGCGUGUGUGAAGAAGGCCUUCGGGUUGUAAAGCACUUUCAGUGGGGAAGAAAAAUUUAAGGCUAAUAUCCUUAAAAUUGACGUUACCUACAGAAGAAGCACUGGCUAACUCUGUGCCAGCAGCCGCGGUAAUACAGAGAGUGCAAGCGUUAAUCGGAAUUACUGGGCGUAAAGCGCACGUAGGUGGAUGUUUAAGUCGAAUGUGAAAGCCCCGGGCUUAACCUGGGAAUUGCAUCCGAUACUGAAUAUCUAGAGUAUAGUAGAGGGAAGUGGAAUUUCCGGUGUAGCGGUGAAAUGCGUAGAUAUCGGAAGGAACACCAGUGGCGAAAGCGGCUUCCUGGACUAAUACUGACACUGAGGUGCGAAAGCGUGGGGAGCAAACAGGAUUAGAUACCCCGGUAGUCC